GCGCCCGUAGCUCAACUGGAUAGAGCACCUGAUUACGGAUCAGGAGGUUUGGGGUUCGAAUCCCUACGGGCGCGCCA
This 77-nucleotide transfer RNA is filed under the name Alphaproteobacteria bacterium. RNAcentral's name for it is "tRNA-Arg". It matches the Rfam family "tRNA". Rfam says of the family: Transfer RNA (tRNA) molecules are approximately 80 nucleotides in length. Their secondary structure includes four short double-helical elements and three loops (D, anti-codon, and T loops). Further hydrogen bonds mediate the characteristic L-shaped molecular structure. tRNAs have two regions of fundamental functional importance: the anti-codon, which is responsible for specific mRNA codon recognition, and the 3' end, to which the tRNAs corresponding amino acid is attached (by aminoacyl-tRNA synthetases). tRNAs cope with the degeneracy of the genetic code in two manners: having more than one tRNA (with a specific anti-codon) for a particular amino acid; and 'wobble' base-pairing, i.e. permitting non-standard base-pairing at the 3rd anti-codon position. The record is from RNAcentral. Lineage: Bacteria; Pseudomonadati; Pseudomonadota; Alphaproteobacteria.